RNAcentral lists this ribosomal RNA (229 nucleotides) under uncultured bacterium. RNAcentral describes it as "partial 16S ribosomal RNA". It matches the Rfam family "Bacterial small subunit ribosomal RNA", at positions 568 to 796 of the family's 1533-position model. The record is from RNAcentral.
UACGUAGGCGGCUUGGUAGGUUGGGUGUGAAAUCCCACAGCUCAACUGUGGAACUGCGCUCAAAACCACCAAGCUUGAGGGAGACAGGGGUAAGCGGAACUGAUGGUGGAGCGGUGAAAUGCGUUGAUAUCAUCAGGAACACCGGUGGCGAAGGCGGCUUACUGGGUCUUUUCUGACGCUGAGGUACGAAAGCUAGGGUAGCGAACAGGAUUAGAUACCCUGGUAGUCC